GAUUAUGGCUCAGGAUGAACGCUAGCUACAGGCUUAACACAUGCAAGUCGAGGGGCAGCAUUGGAGUAGCAAUACUCAGAUGGCGACCGGCGCACGGGUGAGUAACACGUAUCCAACCUGCCGCUUACUCGGGGAUAGCCUUUCGAAAGAAAGAUUAAUACCCGACGGUAUAAAGAGUUCGCAUGUUCUCUUUAUUAAAGAAUUUCGGUAAGCGAUGGGGAUGCGUUCCAUUAGAUAGUUGGCGGGGUAACGGCCCACCAAGUCUACGAUGGAUAGGGGUUCUGAGAGGAAGGUCCCCCACAUUGGAACUGAGACACGGUCCAAACUCCUACGGGAGGCAGCAGUGAGGAAUAUUGGUCAAUGGACGCGAGUCUGAACCAGCCAAAAGUAGCGUGAAGGAUGACUGCCCUAUGGGUUGUAAACUUCUUUUAUAAGGGAAUAAAGUGAGGGACGUGUCCCUUUUUGUAUGUACCUUAUGAAUAAGGAUCGGCUAACUCCGUGCCAGCCGCCGC
Molecule: ribosomal RNA, 512 nt
Filed under: uncultured bacterium
Lineage: Bacteria
Description: bacterial SSU rRNA
Rfam family: Bacterial small subunit ribosomal RNA
Source: RNAcentral